CCGUCUUUUCCUGGACAUCUCUAGCAGCUGCAAUAAUCUGAAUACACAACAAAAUUCAAAGAUGAGACUGAAUCCUCCAAAAUAUAAAUGCCGAGAGAAAAUCAACGCAACAACUACACAAUUUUCAGAUAUGAUUAACCUCAGGAGCAACUUCUUCAACUUUCACAGUCUUUUUAACAGCACAAAGCACUUCAAAACGCACGCCAGCAGUCUAGUAAGCUUUUCCAAUAGAAAACCUAAUUCUUAUCAGUUUCCUAGUAGUACAAUAGAAAACCUUUAAUCAAAACAAUAAAACAAAGAAGUUGCGAUGAGAAAAAGACAAUUAAGACCAAUUCAUUACCUCCGAAGCAGCGACAUCAAUGAAACUAAACUUCUCAAAUAUGUUUCUAAAUUCUUCAUCCAUGCCUUCAUAUAGGUCUAACUUCUCUGAUACAUACUCAACAAAUCAUCUUUUACCUAUAACAAUAAAAGAGAUUAUUUACUAUAACAAAGAAAUUGUUUCAUACUUAUUAAAACACUAAAAAUUGUUUCAAACUUCUAAAUUUGUCAUUGUUCC
This 556-nucleotide long non-coding RNA is filed under the name Trifolium pratense (red clover). Its description in RNAcentral is "long non-coding RNA (TPRA_LNC009889)". Lineage: Eukaryota; Viridiplantae; Streptophyta; Magnoliopsida; Fabales; Fabaceae. The record is from RNAcentral.